Zingiber officinale is the source of this 1222-nucleotide long non-coding RNA. RefSeq lists it as uncharacterized. The transcript is spliced from 3 exons. NCBI's taxonomy places the organism in Eukaryota, Viridiplantae, Streptophyta, Magnoliopsida, Zingiberales, Zingiberaceae. The record is from RefSeq and is a predicted model, not a curated record.
UUCUCCUAAUUUUUCUUUCCCCGAUCUCCUCUCCCAAGCCUCUCGCGCAACCUCUUCUUCCCCGACGCCAACGUCGCAAGGGAGAUGAUCGUGCCGGCGCCGGUUGACCCUCCAUUAGCAGGUAGAUGGAGCUCGAUCGCCGGAAGGAAAGGGCCAACGCUUGCCCUCACGCGUGGUGCCCUAGAUCCUGUUUCUGCCACCUGAUUUCCUUGUCGUCGUCGCCCUUCUUGCGCCGCCGAUCACCACGAGUUCACUGCUGGCGACGGUCUUCUCCAGUGUGUCUCGGCCGAGCCUCCCUCUUCCUUCUCUCAAGGUGUGGAGCCUCUCCUUCUUCUUGCCGAUCUUGUCACCGUGCCCUAGAUUGCUGACACCGAGUCUUUCUCGCCGAGCCUCCCGACCACACCACUCCACACGAUGUAGCCGGAUCACGCGCGCGAGCUCUCUUCGUCCCGAGACUCACCAGCGACUCAACUCCUUCCCUUCCAACCAACCGCCGCCGUCCCUUUCCUGUACCUGAUCGCCGACCUCUCUGCUUCUAAUCACCAACCUAGCUUCAAGAUUGAUGUUGGGUUUGAUCCUUGGUCUGUUGUGAAGUGUCCGGCCAAGCUGCAUUGAUCCGGCAAUGUGACCGAAAGAUGGUUUGCUGUGGCGGUUCUUGUGGGGUGGAGGGUUGCUGCUAGGGUCCGGUGAGGCCAUCAACUCCGGCAGUAAUCUUCUCCAGCAGUAAAACACCAGUUGGGGCAUCUGGAUUGAGCUAAGGUUUUGUUGAGUGUAGUGCUUCUUUGAUAGUUGACGGCAUAGAACUUCUUGGGUUGUAAGAUUCAGAAUUUUGCUGUCAUACCUCAAGGUGAGUGUUUUCUGGUGAUGUAUCUCUAGAUCCUUCUAUUAUUAUUCUGUUCUAUCAGUGUUGUUAAUGGAUAUUAGAUCAUGUUUAGUUUAGAGCACAUGGGAGCAUGUAGAGGGAUUCGUUGUAGUUGGAUGCUCUUGUGUUGGAUUAAUUGAUGACUGGUAGGUUAUGUAUUGGAUUAGAUUAAGCAUUCUACAUGGAUUGUUGAUGAUAGAUUGUUGAUGAUGGUAUUGGGUUAACAUAGAUUGUUGAUGAUAGAUUGUUGUAAUCUGUGUAGAUUAGUUGAAAUGGAUGAAUUGUGUGAAGUUGAUUCAUGGUUAAGGAAUUAGAAUUCAACUUUGAUAUAUUGAUUUGGAUUGAAUCUUGGAUUGAUUU